This 478-nucleotide long non-coding RNA is filed under the name Ananas comosus (pineapple). RNAcentral's name for it is "long non-coding RNA (ACOM_LNC019477)". The record is from RNAcentral. Lineage: Eukaryota; Viridiplantae; Streptophyta; Magnoliopsida; Poales; Bromeliaceae.
GUACCUUCUGAAUGUUCGUUUGCGCUCAAAUUUGACAGUCAGGCUCGGUUUAAACUAACAAGAAGAACGAAAUCUUAACUUCUCAGUUUCAACCAUUUUUGGUCACCGAAAGCUCUAUCGACCCGAAUCUCUGGUAGAUAGCAGUCGUAUUUUAUUUUUCACUUUCCGGGUGUCGGAAUGACAUGAAACUUUAAAUCUAGUCUCAUAAAAAUAAUUCCGACAUAUUCCCAAACUUUCAUAAUUUUCUGACACUAUAAAUUUUCUGCUAAAAGAUCAGCCUCGUUUCUUACAGAAAAUUCUAAAUCUUCUGUUUCAAUUCCAAUUCCAACACAAGUCAUUUUCGACUUAUAUUUUACUUUUUUAAGUCCAAUAAAAAUAGUAUUUUAUACUAUUUUUAUUUACACUUACUUUUUUAUUAAGAAUCCUGUACAUUACAAUAUUUCCACGGAUUGUCCCACUAAAAAAUUGUACAAAAAGA